Molecule: ribosomal RNA, 1077 nt
Filed under: uncultured organism
Description: bacterial SSU rRNA
Rfam family: Bacterial small subunit ribosomal RNA
Source: RNAcentral
UUCCGCAAUGGGCGAAAGCCUGACGGAGCAAUGCCGCGUGCAGGAUGACGGCCCUCGGGUUGUAAACUGCUGUCACCGGGGACGAAUAACUGACGGUACCCGGAGAGGAAGUAACGGCUAACUACGUGCCAGCAGCCGCGGUAAUACGUAGGUUACGAGCGUUGUUCGGAUUUAUUGGGCGUAAAGGGUCCGCAGGGGGCCUGCUAAGUCUGAUGUGAAAUCCCAUGGCUCAACCAUGGAACUGCAUUGGAAACUGGCGGGCUAGAGUAUCGGAGAGGAAAGCGGAAUUCCUGGUGUAACGGUGGAAUGCGUAGAUAUCAGGAAGAACACCGAGAGCGAAGGCAGCUUUCUGGACGAUUACUGACCCUCAGGGACGAAAGCGUGGGGAGCGAACAGGAUUAGAUACCUUGGUAGUCCACGCCGUAAACGUUGUGUACUUGAUGUGGGAGGAUUUAGCCCCUCCCGUGUCGGAGUUAACGCGUUAAGUACACCGCCUGGGGACUACGGCCGCAAGGCUAAAACUCAAAGGAAUUGACGGGGGCCCGCACAAGCGGUGGAGCAUGUGGCUCAAUUCGAGGCAACGCGAAGAACCUUACCUGGGCUUGACAUAUACCGGACCGUCCUGGAAACAGGAUUUUCCCUUCGGGGACUGGUAUACAGGUGCUGCAUGGCUGUCGUCAGCUCGUGCCGUGAGGUGUUCGGUUAAGUCCGGCAACGAGCGCAACCCGUGUCGUUAGUUACAAACAGUUCGGCUGUGAACUCUAGCGAGACUGCCCGUGUUAAGCGGGAGGAAGGAGCGGAUGACGUCAAGUCCGUAUGGCCCUUAUGCCCAGGGCUGCACACGUGCUACAAUGACUGGUACAAUGGGAUGCAAUGUCGCGAGACGGAGCUAAUCCUUAACCCCAGCCCCAGUUCGGAUUGGAGUCUGCAACUCGACUCCAUGAAGUUGGAAUCGCUAGUCAAGGCGUAUCAGCAAUGACGCCUUGAAUACGUUCCCGGGCGUUGUACACACCGCCCGUCACAUCAUGGAAGCUUGUUGCACCCGAAGUCGCCGGAUCAACCCAUUUUCUGGGAGAG